This 1102-nucleotide long non-coding RNA is filed under the name Equus caballus (horse). RNAcentral describes it as "lncRNA (ENSECAG00000045472.1)". The record is from RNAcentral. Lineage: Eukaryota; Metazoa; Chordata; Mammalia; Perissodactyla; Equidae.
AUUCCCCUCACGUGUGGCCUUAAAGAGUUCUAUAUUCUUUUGCUAAGUCAGACUUGGCUUUUACCAGUUUGUUAGCGAUUUCAGCUAAAAUUUUCUUACUCGUAUCUGACAGUGUCUGCCUCAGAGCUCUGUCCAGUUGCUCCAAGCUUUACUGGUUGCACUCUAGGUCUGCUGCACAUCUACACGGAUAUCACCUGGAGAGGAGCUGUUUAAUGCCCUUCAGACUGGUGGAAGAUAGGAAAGAGAAACACAGACUGAAAUUUAACUCUUAUCUCUUUGUACUUCAUUUCAAUUCCUGGAAAUAUUGGUCCCUUUGCUCCCAAUAUUUACUUAAAGUGUGGAUCUCCCAUCCUUGACAAUGGAAACUAAUAAGAAAUAUCAUAAAUGCUGAACACAUUGUGAAGGUUAUUAAAAGUCUUAAGUGUUUAGCUCCAGCUAUUUAAAAACUAUUAUGCUGUCUUUGAAACAAAUAUUUCUCAGUGUUGUCAUCCUUGGGUUUUGUUUCUUUAUAGGUUCCACUAUAACUCCUUGUCCAAUUCCUAUCACAGUUGAGCAUAUCCUAUUAUUGUUGUAUUAACAUAUCCUUAACACAAUAACAUUGUAUUAAGUAACUAAUUUUUUCCUGAAAUGCAUCAAUAUGUGAAUUUGAAUUUUAUCAUUUUGUCACCACUACAAAAAACACAUUUUGUUUUCUAGCCCUAACUUUUAAAAAAUUAGCCACAUCACUAAACACUGUUCACUAAGUAAUGAAGAUGAAUAAGAAACCAUGAUUCCUAGUUUAAUAAUAAUAAAUAUUAUAUUGCCUUGCAGUUUACAGAAGACUUUCAUAUAUGUUCUCUCAUGUGAUCAUGUCAUCUCCUCCCAAAAUCUCAGGAGGAAAGCAUAGAUUAGAAAUCAUAAUUUGAAAACGAAAAAACCAAGAUGCAUAGAAGUUAGUGGCUUGCCCUUACUGCUCCUGAAAAUUAGGGCCAUAUAUAGAACAUAUGUGGUCUCAAUAUGUUUCAAUCAGACUAAAUGAGUUUACGCUGUGUACCAACAUCCCAGGAGCUUAACACAUUAAAAGUUUAUUUCUCACUCACACAAAGUCCACUCUGAGUCUGGG